ACAUUCUAAAACUUCAUACAGAGCUUGCAAUGUGAUGGGAACGGAUGUUUAAAAUCUUUGCGGAGGUUGAAAUUCAUCUUUUUAUAAAGAUGGCCUUCUAACAAGCAUAAUAAGUAACUACUACAUUUUCAUGUUUUGAAAACUGAUUUUUUUAAUAUUUAAUUUUUAGGCAAUUAUUGAAGGAAUUCAGCAAGUUUUUACUGAUUUACAUACUUUGGGUAAGUGAGAUGGAAACUCUCUUCUUCCUUUCUUUGUCAUUUCACUUAAUUAUGUUAUGUAAGUUGAUCAUCGAAAAGGUGCUACAUUUAUCAUUCUUUCAUUAAAUUUAUUCCUCUUAUUUUAUUAGAGCUUAGUUUUUCGUGUUUCAUAUCAUACGUAGCUAGCUACAAUCUUUGGAAGAAAAUUAUUAUAGAUAAUAAUGGUCAUAUCUAAGUAUGUUGAUUACCUAAUGUUUUAUUGAAUCCAUGUUAGUAAUGUUUAGGUACACUUCUUAAAUUUAGAGCAAGAGUUCCUUGAUAUGUCAUAUACCAUCAGAUGCUAUAUUAUUUUAAUUAGUGUUACAUAAUUCAACAUAUCUUAUUUUCCAAAACAAAUAACUAAAAGUUAAAUGAAAAGAGUUAGUUGUCACCCUUGUAUUUGUAUAGAGAAACAUAUAUUUAGAUAUUUUAGUCUAGAAGAUUAUAUUUGAAAUCCUUCUUUUCAUUUAUUUUUGGAUGCAAAAGUAAGCUUUAUAUAGAAACAUAUUAAUCAAUACAAGAUUUAUCAUAUUUAUAAAAAUAUAAUGUGAUAAAUAUUUAUAUCGACAUGAUAUUAGACUUAUAUAAAUUUUAGAUCAUAAUAGAAGACAAACGUGCAGCGCACGUUUUCAGAACUAGUCUAGUAUAGGUAGGAAUUGAGAUAAUUUGCUCCAGAAAGUUGAUUGUUUAAUAUGUAUCAGCAGGAUGUUUAUAGCAAUUCAUUUAUGAUCUUGUGACAAAUAUCAGUCUUCAUCUUAGUUGGCUAUUACGACACACUUUUCUUGUCUAUUAACAUAUGUUCUCUCUCACAUCUUGUAGACUGAAAUAUCUCCACCAUAGAAGUCGAUGGAGAAUACAUUUAAUGAUUAAAGCGAAUGAUGCUCUCACAAAUGUAAGUUUUUCUUUGUCCUCAGAAGCUUUCUAUUUUUGUUUACUUCCCUUUGCUUUUCCUUUGUUAAGAUCUUCUUGAGCAGUAUGGAGUAUUUAUUGCCACUAUGAAGUCGAGAAAUCAUCUUCAGUUCGAGAUAAAUUUAAUUUUAGAUAACCAAUAAAAAAACAAAGGUGAAAAAAUCUUUAUAUUCGUGUGGGAACACUGUAAAAUGAAAUCUAAUAUACAUAGGAAUUAAAAUAAUCUGCUCCACAAAAUCUUGUUCUUUCCGUUUCAGUGAGUUUAGAGUUAUGCACAUGUUCACUAUUGAAUUCAAAGCUUUAAUAGAAUUCAAAGGUGUACAAUACACAAGGUUUGUUUCCUAUCUAUCAAAAAUAUAUAAAAGUUUGCCUCCCAAUAAAUUUAAUACCUAUAAACAUCAGCACUAUUCAAGUUUUUAUUAAUGAUUAUUGGAUAUCAACUUAGCAGUUUUUUUCUUUGUCAGGAUUUUGGUAACAGUAUAUGUAAGCUAUUACCGCUCUAGCUCAGUUUGUACCAGGAAAGUUCUGCUGCAAUUCUCUAUUGAAUAGACCGUUGCUACAAUGUGGUCUGACAGCAAAGUGUAAGUGAAUAAACAUAGUUUCGCAGUUUUGUCGCUGACUGUAAAUAUUAAGUUUAUGCUUUAAACUGUUUAAACAUAAAUCUGUGUGAUCAUUAGAAUGAUGUAUAUCUUUGAUAUUAAUGAUGUUUAAUAUUCUUUUCAAAAUAUAAAUUAUGUUGUGCUUAUCAUCAGACUUGCUGCAAAUGGGACGUACAGCUCUGAUGGAACCCAAAGGUACAUGAUAAAAAGUUUUUAAGUAACACACAAGAGAGAUAUUGACAUUAUGGUCAUAGAUUAUAAGGAAAGAUAUUACUUUUUCAUUGUUAGGAUUUUGACAAGGCUCGGUGCUCAUUUGGGAAGUGAAAAGUUUCGAAGGUCUCUCUGUUCAAGUCAAGAAGUGAAAGCUAUUGAACUAUGUAUGUAAUAGCUUGUAUUGUUUACUUUGGGUCCUAUGCUCCUUCGACUUUAAAAUGCCUCAUUUGGGUCUAAUGUCACUUCUUUUUAUUCCAACAAUCAAUAUCGUUCUUGCGUUUUGUUGAUGUGGUAUAUGCCUAGGCUGCUACAAUGUUGUUCUUUUUACUCUAGAUACCAAGACGGAAAGCAAGAGAUGACACAAUUAUUGAACUUUCUGUAUUGAGAAAUCGGAAUUUCUGGAAAACUAUACUAGUGAAUUAUAAUCCCGGGAGCCUUUCCCCUCAAGCUCUCAAGAAAAGGCAACAAAUCGUCACUCAAAUAAAUUAGUAGCGGGUUAUUUGGGAAGCGAAAAGUUUCGUAGGUCUCUCUGCUCGAAUUGAGAAGGGAAAGUUGCUUUCAUCUUAAUACCAUAUGGUCUGAUACAUCACUAAUCUCCACUGCUCGCAAUGGAUAUAAAUUACUGCUCUUUGCGGAUUGAGACUGACACACAAUUAACUAAUCUGGCUCAUAUAUGGACACGAGUCUCCACUCAUCUAUUAUCUUUGAUUAUAUUGGACCACCUUCGACACGAACCGUCCCUGUAAAUUUUCCAUUCAAGUUUAUGUGAAUAAACAAAGCAUUUGUGUUGAGUUCGAAAGAGAUUAGGGCGUCAUGCGCUAGCUUACAAUUGCAUAUUAUAUGUUAAUAAAUCAGAUAACAAAAACUUGUACUAAAAAUCAAAAUAUUAUUAUAUGAUUUGACCAAAUGACCUACAUAUUUAAAAACUAAUAAAAAGACAUUAAAACUUGAAAGAUUUCAAAGAAAUCUUGAAGAAUUAUUUGGGAAAUUUUUCUCUAUUUUCACUGAACCAAAAUUGUACAAAGAGUUGCUUACUUAUCCAUGUAAACUAAGGACUAGAAAGUCAAUUUAAAAGGAAGUAGGUAACCAACUCUGACUAUAUACUUUACAGCUCAUCAUAUUCUAAAAUAAUCUAAAAAAUCUCUUCUUAUACAAUGUGAAUUAAUAUAAGCAACGUUGUAUAUUGAAAUGGGCUGCUGAAAUGGCAUUUGUGUGCUUCAGAUGGGAUGAAACCCAAAGAUAAAAUAUCAGCCCCAAGAGACGUGCAUUCUAGAAUAAGGCUCUCAACCCGUGUCCGAAUAAAGCUCAUCUUCUUCAUUCUUGGUACUGCCAGUCGGUGAUCAUGAGUUCCAACAAAACUGUAGAGAGUAAAGACUAUCUGAACGAUUAUAUUGUGGAUGUUAUUAUGUUCAUAGUGUGAGAAGUUGGGUUUUCUAUUUAUAGGACGUUUAGAAUAAACCAAAUAUGGAAAAUAAUUAUAUUUUUUUUUCAGAAAAAAUUCAAGCAUUUAUGUUAAUACUUUGACUUUUCUUUUAUGAAAAUAAACUUCAAAUAAGGUAAAAAAAUCAAAGCAACCAAAAACAAAGGAAAAGAGAGAGAUUACAUAGUAUCACACAUAGCAAGGCAGCAAGGCUAAUAUGACACAAACAAGACCAUAGUAGAUAAGUAUGGUGCACGUCAUGGUUUAUUUUGUAAAACUACGUAUUAAAUGAAUAUAUUUUUUAGAAUUGAUCUAAUAUUACUUGUUAUCCAUGCUACUAAAAAUAAGAAGUUCAAGUCAUCAUCAACUAAGUUUUGAGUUGGUAAGAAUCACUGAUACUACAAAUUUUCUUGAUAAAAGAGUGUUUACAACUUAUUAAACCUCAUAGGUUUGAAAGCCAUGAAUCAAAUAAGAAUAAGAAGUCUGGGACCCAAUGGCAAUAUGUAACUCGUAAGUUUUGAAAGACAUUUUAUUAGAGAGAAAUUUACGUUGUUUCUAUGUUUGUGUUUUGUUGGAUGUUUGGUGAAAAAAGUAGAUCAUCUCCUAUUGCAUUCUUUAGUUGGUUUAUAACACAAUGAGUGAUUCAACAUCUAUUUAUAUUUUUGAUUUAGAAAUAUUAUUAUACACUUGUAGAUAAAACUUCCAACAACAUAGAAAUAUGUUAAAUCUGAUUUACUUAUGCAACAAAUAUUAUAUCUUACGGGUAGAACGAACAAGGAACAUGAAAACUAAAUGUUUUUGUUAUCGGGUUGACUAAACAGGAUACAGAAAAAUCAUGUCUUUGAAUUGCAUAACAAAGAGUGUACUGAUAUUUUAUACUUUAUAAUAUCAUCACACGAAUUUUAUACUGAAGAUGUGUGCCUUUUUGUUGUCAAUUUUUUUGCAGUGAUACAAAAGCAGAUAGUGAAGACAGGUCAAAGAUUCUACUUUGAUGAAUUCUUUUUCAAUUCUUCAUCAAGAGACGAUUUAGAGUUUUUGGUAAAACUUUCUCUUUCACCAAGAGUCUCCAGCAAAAUGGGCAAUAAUUAGUUUAUCAGGAGUUCAAGUAUAUCUCGAAUUGGUUAUGGGUUAUUGCAAGUGCUUUUGGUUUUUACGUUUCUUUUCUAAUUUUUGUGGUGUUUGAAACAGAUCAAAAAAUAUUUUUAAACACUUAUUUUUAGACCCAAAAGAAGUAUAAAAAUAAGCUAAAGGCCAAAGGUAGGUAUUCCCAACUUAUGAGUUUAGCUUUUAGCUUAUAAGAUACUUUUAAAAAGUUAAUCCAAACACCCUCUUAAACUUUUAAAUUAAUUUUAAUUAAUAAGAUGUUAGCUAUUUGUUUAUAAUAUAUUAUCUUGAUAUGGUUGUAAAAACUUUAUUUAUCAAUAUGAAUAUUUGAAUUGUUUAUUUCAAAAUUCUAAAAAUAUUUUUGAUAAAAAGUAAAAUAGGUUCUCUUUCUUUAUUUUUAAUUUAAAUUUUGAGUUUUUUUCUUACAAAAAGGUACAAAAUUUAUAUAAAAUAGAAUAAAAAGGCAACUUUAAAUUAUUAUUAUUAUGUUUAUGUGUAUAUAUGUAUACCUGGACACGUUCGUUGCACGUGUAUUCCAUAUUAAUUCUUAUAAAUUCAUAUUAUUUAAAAAUAACAAACUUUUAUCUUAUACAUAAUUCAAUAACAGUUUCUUAAAUUAAAAAAAUAUCAAUAUAUAGCUAAAGAUAAAAUUCCUCAUGUUCCUAAUCUCAUAGCACCUUUGUAAAUGAUAUCUCUUCGUGUAAUUUCAUCUCCAAAUAUAUUGUUUGCCACAUUUGUAUCAUUUCUCAAUAUUUUAACAAUAAAAAAGAAAAUAAUAUAAGAAGAUACAUUUAAAGAAAGUUUAUAGAACGAAAAGGAAAGUACAUUGAAUUAAAUAUAAAAGUGAGAGAAGAAGAAUAGCAAAUUGGAUAUCAUAUCAAUUGUUCUAAUGGCUCAUAAUAGUGGUUUAAAUUCCACAAUGUCAUUAUAAGUUGUUCAAAAUUGUAAAUGAAUAAAAUUAUUAAUGAUAAAAAUAGUGUGGUAGAGAAAGAAAUCAAGUGUGUGAGGCAUCUGAAAAUAAGUAAAUUCAUUAUUUAGAGCCAAUAUAUCUUAUAUCAUACUCUUUCAAAUAUGAUUUCUUUUUACACCUUUAAAAUUACUUAUUUUCUCUUUUUUCAUUUUCUUCUCUUCUGAAGUUGAUUUGCAAUCAAUCUCUGACGGGCAAUAUCCAUCUUUGUAAGUUGACUCCUAAAUAGUAACAGUGAAGAAAUGUAUUUUUCUCCAUGCCUUGAGAAUUCUUUUUUCUUUUCUCCCCAAUUAUUUUCUUUCACAAUCCACAAACUUUAGAUUUUGUAUGCAACUUAUAAUUGUUGUGAGCUUUUAUAAGGUGUAGUAAAAAUGAGAAGUCUAUACUUAAGUAUUACUUAUUAACAAUGGAAUCUCAAAGGAUCAAAACAGAUCAUAAUUACAACAUGCACUAAUUAUUUGGCAGAUGAAACAAUUCUUCCGAUUAUUACUCAAUUCAAUGCAAGUGAUCAGAUUAUAUUUAACAUAAAGCUUUGUUAUUAAUUUCAAGUUCUUCAAAUUCAUUAUGUUUUUAUCAUCUAAUGUUUAAUUAAUUAAAUAAUUUAUAACAUUUUAAUUUAGAAUAGGGGUAAAAUGGUAACCAAGCAUUUAUAUAUAUAUAAAAUAAAUCAACGAAGCAAUGUCGAAGGACACGCAUAUAGGGUGUGUCCGCUCCUGAUUAAGUUAAGGUUUUAUAUCUUUAUGAAUAUUAAAUUAUCUUCCAAAUUCUUUUUUUUUGGGGGGGGAGAAGGGGUCUACCGCAUAUGGCAAUUUAGAUCUCUAAAAUCCGCACCAAGAAGGGAAAAUCGUUGAAUCUUUUAAUUUGCUAGUAUUGUUCGCUUUGUGCUAGGCGCACACAAUUUUAAAAUAUUAUAUAAGAGUGAAAAUUAUUUUCGCUUUCCAACUUUGCUGUAAAAAUUGAACUCCUUUUCAAUUUUAAACAACUAGUAUACGUGCUCGUGUGUUGCGCAGUUAGUUGAUAAAUGCAAUUGUAAAUAUUAAUUUAUUGACAAUUUUAAAGUUUAACUUAUUAUUAAAUAAUAUUAUCAAAUAAAUGCUUCACAUUAAAUAUGUAUACAUAAUACCUUUAACAAUAUAUCAAAAUAAAAAAUAAAAAAUAAAGAUUCAAAUCCAGGGAAUUAAACACCAAUCAUCCUACAAAUAAAACUUCAAAUCAUUGAAAGUUAUAAAUAAAAAAAAGGAAAAAUAAUCAUCAAAAACUAAUGGCUUGCAAUAAUUAUUGAUAAGAGAUUUUAAUGCUUAAAAAGUUGCUAUAUCUAUUUAUCAAAUUUCACUGAUAGUGUUAAUUCUAAGUAUGAAAUUGAUUAUAGUGGCUUUGUCUCAACAACUACAAAGUCACAUCCAAAGAAGAAGGAAAAAAGUUAUAUUGUCAAAAUUUUUUAUGCAUAAAUAGAAAUAGAAAACAAAUAAAUUAUUUUACACUUUUGAUAAUAAGUGUUUCCUAAUUAUCUUUAUGUAAAUAUUUCAUUAACAUAUUCAUUUAUAUAAAAUUUAUAAAAGAGACUUCUUUUAAUACUAAUAAACAUAAACAAAUAUUAAUUAAUAAGCAUAAACAAAUAUCAACUAUUAAUAAAUAACUAAAUGUGUAUGAAUCUUUUUUAGUAAUUUGUAUAUUUAGUUCGUGAUUUAUAUUUUUUGAUUAGUUAAAAGAUCAACUGAUAAAAUAAAGUAUUUAAAUACUUAUGAUAAUAUGGUUAAACAUGAGGUAUGUAUCAAAAAAAAUAAUCUUAAAACAUAUUUAAUUUGACGUAAUUAUUUAAAAUAAUCAUAAUUAUUUAUUUCAUGAUUUUUUAUUUUUUAUUUAUUUAAAAUAAAUACUGAAAAAUAAAAUGUUAUUAACACAAAUUUUUAUUGAUUAUAGGACUGUGUAGUAAUGUAUUGGUUAUGGGGAGUUAUAAAAAUAUUUUUUUGUCUUUUCAUUAACGUAUUCAUUUAUAUAAAAUUUACAAAGAGACUCCUUUUAAAACUAAUAAGCAUAAACACAUUUUAAUUUAAUAGCAUAAAUUUAUUAUAAUUAAGUAAUUUAAUGUGGUGAGAAUGCAUGCUAAUUAGUACUAUGUGUUAAGAAUUUAUGUGUAAAAUACAUAUCGUGUAUUAUUUUUAGCUCCCAAUAUUAAACAGAACUUUAUUUCAUUCGAUUUGGACUCGGAACAUCUAAAACAAAUUAAGUUUUUUAUUUAUCUUUUUUUUCCAGAGAACUCAUUUUAUUGUUUCAUCAAUGACUUGAAUUCAUGUUUUUAGUGGAGGUACAGAGUGUUUAUCAACUGAGAUAAAGUAUCUAAAUUUUAACUAGUUUUAGAUAAGUAAAUUUUACCGCAAAAAAAAUCAAAUAUUUCAUAUCUGAAUACACAAUCAAAAUUAAAAGAUUUGACCUUUCAAAUUUUUUUUGUGUCUCGUAAACUAAAAAAACGAAUAAUAUUUAAGUAGUUAUGGUUCCUCAUGAAUAAAUUAUAUACGGAGUUCAAUAUAUUUCAUAAACGACACAUUUCAUUACAAUAACAACAUAUUCUAUAUAGUUCUACGUAUAAAAUGUGAUUUGAAAAUAAUAAAAUGUACGUAGACCUUACUCUGCUACGGAGGUAGAGAGGUAACGACACAAUUGAUCAUCAUUGCUUAGAAAAACUUACCUAAUUAACAUUUAAAAAUUAUUAUAGUUAACUAAUUAAUUGUCCUCUCAUCUGUUCCAAUUGACUGGACAGAUUUUAGUUAUAAUAUGUUAGUGAAAAAUUACAAAAUUACAAGAUUACAAUUGAAAAUAAAAAUGAAGAAAUAAAUCUCUUCAGAUUGAGGCGUGGAUAUGUCGCUCUCUUUAAGGAGAUUCAAGCCCACUUAAGCAAAUGUUUUUCAUCGGUCCAACAGUAGUCCUCUUUACUUGUCCCCUCCAGGAUACAACAGCCUAAUCACAAAGUGUAACUCAACAAAUUUUGGACAAGAGUUGAGUUCAAACCUCCACAAAAAGAACACCUUCCUUCAACUAAUAAAAACUCUCUUUUUGGACAAACUUUAUGCACUAUGAUCUAUAUUUUUCUUGUGUGUCAACCAAACAAAGACCACCACUAUUUAUAGUUGCGGAUGUCUUCCUAGCAAUGAAUAGGAAGAUAAUGGGUAGUAAAUAAUGAAGAUAAAUGGUAUUAGAAAUUACAUAUGUUAUAAGGUAUAAUGGAGAAAUAAAGAAUGAGAUAACAAAGAUUGAAUGAAAAAGAAUUAGUGGUCAUGGUUGACCACCUUCUGCCACUAACAGUAACCUCCAAUGGCCAACGUUUUGUAACCAUCAAAUAAAGGGUAAUAAUGCCUAAAUAACACAAGUGAGUAAUGCCUAAGGUUGCAGCAAUGAAAUAGAGAUUGCUCCAACACUUGUCAUUUGCCUCUCUCCCUAGAGAAUUUCGCUUGUCACUCUCCCAGAUCUCGCUCGUCACUCUCCCUCGCCCUCUCUCACUUUAUACAACACAAUGUAUAAAUUGCGUUUGUGUUUGUAUAAAGCGAGAGAAAACUGUAUAUAAAAAUACAAAUACAUAUAUUUUUGUCCUAUACACUAAUAAUUAUACAAAUACAGAUAUUUCCCUACCAGUUCUCUUUUGCCUUCCUCUCGUUCUCGCUUUAUACAAAUACAAUGUAUAAUUUGUGUUGUAUAAAUCGAGAGAGAGAGAUUUGAUAUACAAAUGUUUAUUUUGAUUCAAUUGUAUACAAAUUCAAAUUUUAUGCAGAUAUACAAACACAAUCAAGGAUACAUAUACAUAGUAGUUACAUAUAUGCUGGUCAACAUUUUAAUAUUAAUAUUUUAUAUAUUAAUUUGUUAAAAGUUUGGAGUCAAAUGGUGCCUUUGCUGUCAAGUUAUCCGUUGGUGGUAAUUCAUUUGUCUUAACAAUUGGAAAUAUAUUUGGAGCAUUACUCCAUUUGGAGUAAGUGCUGAUGUUACUGACUGUUUCUCUUGCAGCAUCGUUUAGUGGCAUCUUGGCCAUAAGUUCUCCAUAUUAUUUCUCCAUUAUCUCACUCUUUAUUCCUCCAUUAUACCUUGUAACAUAUGUAACUCGUAAGAUCACUAUCUUCACUAUUUACUACACCAUUAUCUUCCUAUUCAUGGCUAGGAAGACUUCUUCUAGUAUAAAUAGUGGUGGUCUUCAUUUGGUUUGGGAGAUACAAUACACACAAGAAAAAUAUAGAAUGCAUAAGUUUGUCAAAAAGAUAGUUCUUAUUAGUUGGAGGGAGGUGUUCUUUUUUGUGGAGCUUUGGACUCAACUCUUGUCCAGAGUUGUUGAGUUAUACUUUGUGAAGGCUGUUGUAUCCUGGAGGGGACAAGUCAAGAAGAAGUACUGCUGGACCGGUGAAAACAUUUGCUGCAGUGGGCUUGAAUCUCCUUAAAGAGAGCGAGAUAUCCGCGCCUCAGCCUGAAGAGAUUUAUUUUCUUCAUUUUAUUUUUCAAUUGUAAUCUUGUAUUUUUGUUAUCUUGUAAGUUUUCACUAACAAUUUUAAGGAGAUUCAAAAUGGCUACAAUUGAAAAAAAUGCGGAUGUCAAGAUGGGAGACCUUAACAAGCCAUUUCGGUUCAAUGGUAACCAUUUUAAGAGAUGGAAGGGUAAAGUACUUUUCUACUUGAGUCUUCUCAAUGUUUCUUAUGUGUUAACUGAGAAGAAUCCUAAUAAAAUAGACAUCACCUUUAUGAAUGAUGAUGAAACUAUUUCUCAUCUAGAGAAAGUGGAAAAGUACGAUGGUGAUUCCUAUAAGUGUCGGUAUUAUAUUCUUAAUUGUCUAUCUGAUAAUUUUUAUGAUUAUUAUGAUAGAACUUACUCUAGUGCAAAGAAAAUUUGGAAAGCAUUGCAGAGUAAGUAUGAUACCGAAGAGGCUGGAACGAAAAAAUAUGCAGCUAGUCGAUUUUUUCGUUUCCAAAUGAUGGACAACAAAUCAGUGGUAGACCAAGCGCAAGACUUUAUAAUGAUUGUUGGAGAGCUUAGGUCCGAGGAGGUUAAAAUUAGAGAUAACCUUAUUGUUUGUGGCAUAGUGGAUAAACUUCCACCUUCUUGGAAGGAAUUUCAAAAAACUAUGCUCCACAAACAAAAGGAAACCUCUCUUGAAACCUUGAUAAUGAAAAUCCGCAUGGAAGAAGAGGCAAGAGGCCAAGAUGCACUUUUACAAACAGAAGAGAACAACAUCACAACGAAGGUAAAUUUAAUUACUUCAAAUAAUGCUACUCCUGAAUCUCACAAAAAUACUUCUUUGAAGCCUAAGAAGAAAAAAUUCAAGAAAAAUAAUGGUAGACCUCCCAAGAAAAAUAAUGGUGAAAAUAACCAAGCACAAAAUCAACAAGUUCAAGACAAAGGACCGUGCUUUGUUUGUGGCAAGAGUGGGCAUAUUGCUCGAUUUUGCAGAUUCCAAAAAUGUGGUCCNNNNNNNNNNNNNNNNNNNNNNNNNNNNNNNNNNNNNNNNNNNNNNNNNNNNNNNNNNNNNNNNNNNNNNNNNNNNNNNNNNNNNNNNNNNNNNNNNNNNNNNNNNNNNNNNNNNNNNNNNNNNNNNNNNNNNNNNNNNNNNNNNNNNNNNNNNNNNNNNNNNNNNNNNNNNNNNNNNNNNNNNNNNNNNNNNNNNNNNNNNNNNNNNNNNNNNNNNNNNNNNNNNNNNNNNNNNNNNNNNNNNNNNNNNNNNNNNNNNNNNNNNNNNNNNNNNNNNNNNNNNNNNNNNNNNNNNNNNNNNNNNNNNNNNNNNNNNNNNNNNNNNNNNNNNNNNNNNNNNNNNNNNNNNNNNNNNNNNNNNNNNNNNNNNNNNNNNNNNNNNNNNNNNNNGUCUAAUCAAUAUGUNNNNNNNNNNNNNNNNNNNNNNNNNNNNNNNNNNNNNNNNNNNNNNNNNNNNNNNNNNNNNNNNNNNNNNNNNNNNNNNNNNNNNNNNNNNNNNNNNNNNNNNNNNNNNNNNNNNNNNNNNNNNNNNNNNNNNNNNNNNNNNNNNNNNNNNNNNNNNNNNNNNNNNNNNNNNNNNNNNNNNNNNNNNNNNNNNNNNNNNNNNNNNNNNNNNNNNNNNNNNNNNNNNNNNNNNNNNNNNNNNNNNNNNNNNNAGUUUUAGGGUUAAUCCCAAUGAUUAAAAUACAUUUUGAAAUGUGUGAGGCUUGUAGUAAAGCCAAAAUCACUAAAAGGCCUCAUUUUCAAGUUGAAAGAAAAACUGAUUUGUUAGAUUUAGUUCAUACUGAUAUUUGUGAACUUGGUGGAAUUUUAACUCGUGGAGGUAAUAGAUAUUUUAUCACUUUCAUUGAUGAUUUUUCUAAGUUUACAUAUGUUUACUUGAUGAAAAAUAAAAGUGAUACUUUUGAAAAUUUCAAAACUAUCUUCAUGCGGUUGAAAAUCAGUUUGGAAGAAAAAUAAAAAGAAUUAGAAGUGAUAGAGGCCGUGAAUAUGAGUCAAAUGAGUUUAAUUCUUUUGUUAGAUCAUUGGGAAUAAUUCAUGAAACUACUCCUCCUUACUCUCCUUCAUCUAAUGGAGUAGCGGAAAGGAAAAAUAGAACUUUGGUUGCCAUGCUUAUUGAGUCACAUGCACCUUUAAAUUUUUGGGGUGAAGCUAUUUUAACUGCUUGUUAUGCGUUGAAUCGUGUGCCUCAUAAAAAGUCUAAAUUGACACCUUUUGAAUUUUGGAAAGGUUACAAGCCAAGUUUGGGAUAUCUAUUAACGCAAUUUAAAUUAAAAUUCUAUUCAACUGUCUCCAAAAGCAUCACGUCUUGUUUACACUUGAAAUUAAAAAAUUACCUUAUAAGUUGUUAAAAAGAAAAUUUUCGUAGUAGAUUUUCAUGUGAGAGAUCAAACACUUAAACAUCAAUUAAAGAAUAUGAUGCAAAAAAUCAAGAAACUAAAUGGAAAGAGCUUUGAUCUUCAAGGGGAUUAAAACUUGUGAAGAAGAGUCCCUAUUACAUUACAACAUCAAUUUGACAUCAAAGUCCUAUAUUUCUUAUUAACAAUUUGCAUUAAGCCUAGUGUUUUAAUGAAGGACAAAAAGUUCAAUCAACAUUUCUAGAAAAGGGUCUUAUAGUAUAAUUGAUUGAUAGAUACUAGAAUUGCUAAUGUGCUUCUUCAAGGAACUCUGUCACUUAACAUUGAGCUCCAAUGAACAUUGAGAUGUUAUCCGCGAGUGUGUUGCACACAUGUACGUAUUUGGCUGAAUUUUCCAAAAAUGUAAAAAUAGCACAGCUGAACCAUGUAUUGAUGUUUAAUUAAAUGAUACAAGUCUUUGGUCACUAAAUGGUCCCCGUUUUUUACAACCACCAAUUGAGAAAGCAAUGAAUAGGCACUAAUUACAACUUCUUGUUUGCAAAUUUACUAGCAAAAGAGAGAGAAAUCAGUGAUCAUUCUUGUUUGCAAAUUACUCUUAGCUUUAACAGGUAAAGUGAAAUUGUUAGUAAUUUAACAUACAAACAUUCAUCUCCUGAAAUUUCUUAAAAUCAUUUUGUGUUUUGAUUUGCAGAUUUCAGUAAAAUGGAGGUUGGCUUAGCAGUUGGUGGUGCAUUUAUCUCUUCAGCUUUGAAUGUUCUCUUUGAUAGGAUUACUCAUCUGACCUAAGCAAGAGGGUGCUGCAUAACAUACUGCCAAGACUAACAUCCUUAAGGGCAUUAUCAUUGUCAGGUUAUUACAUUGAGGAGUUGCCAGAUGACUUGUUUAUCAAAUUAAAGCUCCUCAGAUUUUUGGACCUUUCUCAGACAUGUAUUGAAAAGUUGCCAGAUUCCGUUUGUGCAUUGUAUAAAUUGGAGACACUUCUCUUGUCAUUUUGUACCUCUCUUGAAGAGUUACCGCUGCAGAUGGAAAAGUUGAUUAACUUGCGUCAUCUUGACAUAAGCAACACUUGGGUCUUGAACAUGCUGCUACAUCUGAGCAAGUUGAAAUGCCUCCAAGUGCUAGUGGGAGCCAAGUUUCUUGUAGGUGGUUUGAGAAUGGAAGAUUUGGGUGAAGUAGAGAACUUGUAUGGAUCUCUAUCAGUUUUAGAGUUGCAAAACGUGGUUGAAAGAUGUGAAGCUGUGAAGGCAAAGAUAAGGGAGAAGAAUCAUGUUGAGCAGUUAUCAUUGGAGUGGAGUGAAAUUAGUAGUGCUGACAAUUCACAAACAGAAAGAGACAUUCUUGAUGAGCUACGCCCACAUGAAAACAUAAAAGAAGUCGAAAUCACCGGAUAUAGAGGAACAAAAUUUCCAAAUUGUCUAGCUCAUCAUUCGUUUCUUAAGCUAGUAGAAUUGUCUCUUAGCAACUGCAAGGACUGUGAUUCCUUGCCAGCACUAGGAGAACUUCCUUGUUUGAAAUUCCUUUCGAUUAGAGGGAUGCAUGGAAUAACAGAGGUGACACAAGAAUUCUAUGGCAGUUCAUCCUCCAAAAAGCCUUUUAACUGUCUUGAGAAGCUUGAAUUUGAAGAUAUGCCGGAGUGGAAGCAAUGGCACGUACUAGGAAGUGAGGAGUUCCCUAUACUUGAGAAGCUUUCAUUUAGAAAUUGUCCGAAGUUGAUGGGGAAGUUGCCUGAAAAUCUUUCUUCUCUGACAGAAUUGAGAAUUUCAAAGACGCCUCUUUUUGACGAGGCUGGACUGUUUGCAUCCCAACUUCAGGCUGACAGAAUCGUUGUAUUAUCUAUUGAGUAUUGUAACUCUGUUACCUCCUUACCUUUUAGGAUACUGCCCAGUUCCUUCAAGAGAAUAUGGAUAUCUCACUGCCAGAAAUUGAUAUUGGAGGAGUCAGUUGGUUAUUGUAACAUGUUUCUCGAGGAAUUGACACUGCAAUUUACAACAACUUCAGAUCAAGAAAUGCACAAAACUGGUGAAUGGCCGAAAGGAGUGGUGUUUACAGACACUCCCCUGUCUCAGAGAGUUAAGCAUCUACCAUGAUGGCGGUGACGAAGAUAUCCAACAUUGGGAGUUGCCUUCCUCUAUUCAGAGACUUACCAUAGACAAUCUGAAAACAUUAAGCAGCCAACAUCUCAAAAGUCUCACCUCUCUUCAACAUCUACGUAUUACUAAUUUACCUCAAAUUCAGUCACUGUUGGAAGAAGGCCGGCUUCCCUCCUCUCUUUGUGCGCUAAGUUUAGAUUACCAUCAUGAGCUCCAUUCACUAAGUCUUUCGCACCUCACUUCUCUUCGACGUCUACACAUCACUGCUUGCCCUAAUCUCCAAUCACUUUCCGAAUCAGCACUGCCCUCCUCCCUCUCUCAGCUGAUCAUCUUUGAUUGCCCUGAUCUCCAAUCACUUCCAGUAAAAGGGAUGCCCUCUUCCCUCUCUUAUCUAUCUAUUUCCAACUGUCCAUUGCUCAAACCACUCCUAGAAUUUGACAAGGGGGAAUACUAGCCAAAUAUUGCUCAAAUUCCCAUCAUAAAUAUCCAUGGGAAACACCUGUAAACAAAUGAUGCUUUGACAAAUGUAAGUUAUUCUUUUCCCUCAGAAGCUUUUUAUUUUUGUUUACUUCACUUUGUUUUUUUGCUAAUUCUUUUCUUUUUUUUUCUAUCUUGCCGAGCAGUGUGGAGCAUCUAUUGCUCAAACAACGGCUACUGACCAAAAAUUGCUCAUGCUUCCACCAUAAAUGCUGAUUGGGAGAACCUGUAAUAAUUAAAACGAGUGGUGCUCCUACGUACAGAUUUGUAAGUUAUACUAUUUCCUUAGUAUCAUUUGAUUUUUUGUUACUCCUCUUUGCUCGUCUGUUAAAUAUUUUGGACCAGUGUGUAGAAUCUAUUACCUCUGUGAAGUCGAGGAAAUAUCUAUAGAUCAGGAUAAAAUCUUUAUAUUUGCAUUGAGACAUUGUGAAAGAAAUCUAGUAUAGGUAGGAAUUGAGAUAAUUUGCUCCAGAAAGUUGGUUGCUUAAUAUAUGUCAGCAUGAUGUUUAUAACAAUUCAUAUAUUCUUGUGACAAAUCUCACUUUCCAUCUUAGUUGACUCUUAAGACUCCCUUUUCUUGUCUGUUAACCUAUGUUCCGUCUCAAAUCUUGCAGACUGGAAUAUUAUUUGCCAUCAUGAAAGUUGUUUCGCAUUUUUCAUUUCUUCUACAAAGAUAAAUGGGUCCAAGAAAUGCAACCUCACUUUCUCAAUCAGGAAACCAAGACCUUGAUAAGAGUUGCAUCAAUCUUGAAAUUUAAAGAAAUUGAGAACGACUUUGAAUGCCUACUUCCAUUAUUUACGCCAUGUUGUACCACAAUAAUUUCAAGUUUGAUGCGACUACAUAAUUACAUCAGUUUUUUUUUUUUUGGUAAUCAAAGAUCCAGAAUAUUGCAUCAGUUUUUUGGUCUUGAUAUUCAGAGAACUUUGGAGAUUAUGAAGUUUCCUUUGAGAACUUUGGAGAUUAUGAGUAAUAGUUUACACUGUCAUAAAUCAGCGAAAUAAAUUUACUUCGUUGGCACUCUCAUCAGUCAUCAGCCAGCGAAACAAAGAAACCAACACACCCAAUCUAAACCUGAAUUUUUUACAAAAUCAACACACCCAAUCUAAACCUGAAUUUUUUCUGUUGCAUUUUAAUGAUCCGACUAAAAAUAUUUAAAAGAUAGUUACUAAGUUUUAGUUUUUUUAAUGUAUUUAUAAUGUAAAGCUCUAUUUCAUUAGUUGAAAGCUGCAGAAGAUAAUGUUUUAAUGUCAAGUGCAAACACUUGGAGUUUUCGUUUGCCAAAUGAGACUCAUAUAAUAUGAGUUUUCUUAAUUAAGUAUUCAUAUUUUUGUAUUUCUAAUUAUGCAGUAAAAUCAAGGUGUUCAUUUAGUUCUCACUUUAAUUUAAGGUUGAAAAUGAUGAAUUUGAUUGGGGAAAUAGUGAAACAUUUUGAUUAUUCAUUUGCAAUAAAAGGAAAGAUACUUGAAGGUUUCUUUUUGUUAGAUUUUCUUCGUGGAAUUUGCUUAUGUUAGCUUUUUGGAGUUGUUCAGAAAUACCAUUAGAUCGGUUGAAGGCUAAUUGGAUAUAAUUGUCUUCAUGACGUGUUUGCUAAGUUUCUGUCGCCUAAUUCAGAUUCCACUGGAUUAGUUUCUACCCAAGAUUAUGCAUAUAUUUGGUGUAAGGUUGAAAAGUAAAAACCUCAAAUGAUAUAUGUAUUUUCUUUUUUAAAAAUACAAAGUUGCGAUGAAGAUUGAAAAUUUUGAUGGUAUUAAUUUUUAUAUGGAUCACCAUUGAGAACUUUGCCUGAGGUAUUAAUCUCCAUUUUCCCUAUUUAUAAAUGUUUCCUGUAGCUCCUAAUUGUGAUGCUUCAUUUACACAUUUUUUACAUUAUAUCUUAUUACAGGGAUAAAGUCUGUCAAGAGUCAAUUAGAUGUUACAGACUUGCAACUACUUGUUGUGCGUUAUAUAUAUAAUUGCAUAUUUCUUGGAUAUCAAGUAUUGGAUUGGUUUCUCAUUGCUUAUUGACUUAUACUCUUACGCGUUUUAAUUUCACAUCUCAAUUGCGAAAGAAAGAUAUCAUAUGUAGCUUGUGCAAAAUAUGAUGUCAUCUUACGUACUACUCUUUGUUGCAAUUUACCGUCCAGAUAACAUGACAGUUAAUUUUGUGGAAUUCUCCUUUGCUUGUCCUAUUAGCAUGAUUUGGUUGUUGAUCCAUUGUUGCUGUAGGAUUGUUCGAUCUUGUCUUUGUUGUUCUUAAACUUCGGUCAACAAAAAUCAUGAAUGGUCAGAAUAAUGCAAUUGAUUCGCAUCAGAGAUGAAUCUAAGGCUAAUAAACGGAUAGACGUAUCAUGAUGUAUUAUGACUGUUAGAGGGUGAACGAUUGAGAAGCCUUCAGUUCUUGAUUAAGCCUUCACAUUGCUUUGUUCUUCUAGCUUCUUCAGUAUAAAAAAAAUUGCUUGUGAGCCAUAUCUUGAAUUUGACACUUCUUCACCUGGCAGUAAGCUUAGAAAUCACUUUUUAUAGUCAAAUAGAACUAUAAAUAUAGACAGUGUAUGGUCUGUAAUAGAUCUACUUGUUUAUACUCAUCAUUAUGUCGAAGGGUUGUAAAGAAGAAGAUAUGAUACAGAACUUCAGAGAUCUUUCUCUAGUAGUCUGUAGUUUAUACGAUUAUCUUAAUGGAAGUCCCAAUUGACUGCUGCAUUCUAACCCUACCAUUGGUAGCCUAACUUAUACUUCAUAUCUUUAUCUUUCCUGUUAAAGAUACUUAUAAUUAACACUUGCAUUAUUUUUUACAACCGAGCUAGAAUUUUAGCUAUUUGUGUUAAAAUUGUGUAUUUGCAUUAAGAAAUCUACUUAUUGCUCAGAACCAAUUACUUUCUUUUUUUUGUAAAAUUCAGAAUUCAUAAACUCAAAUGCAAGUUUCACAAAUGAAAAGUCAUGUGCCUUUUAACUUGGAUUUUGGAGCCUACAAAAUAUGUGGAAAAUCCUGAAUAAAUGGGUCAGUGGAAUAAUAUGUGAGUUGUAAACCCAAAGAAGAUCAAAUGAAAUAUCCCAAUCUUGUAUUCCCAAGAAAUUGGAGAGAUUUUGUAAUGAAAGAAGAAAAUUGUGAAGCGGCAAUUAGGAAAGAAGAGAGAGUACACAUUCAGUGAACCAAAAGAGUGACAACAAAAGUCUUUUUCUAAGAACAUUCCCUUUUUGUAGAUUGUUUCCUAUAUUUCUUAUCCAAAUACAGUGUAUGCACAAGAGUGUAGCUAAAGCAAUACUGAACUAGUCACGUAUCAGGAUUUCUGAAGCAAUACAGCAUUCAAUUGUUGUCUCAGUUAGAUUGCUCCUUUUUUACAAAUGUAACCGUAGGUUUUCCAAAAUGAUAGCUUGAGUCCCUUUUCAACAAUCAUGUAAUGCUAAUUUUUUCUGUUGUUUUGCAUUUUCGUCUUUGCUAUUCGUAAGCCUGGGAUAAACUUUUGUCAUCUGGAAUUUGAAAAGUUAUGUUUUACUCCUUAUGAUAUGCAGAUAUGUAGUUGCAGAGAUAAAGCAUAUGACAAUCUGGCUCGGAAAGAACAGUUUGACAUCCAAGACAGUGAAGAGCUUAAUAGAAUGAAGGAAGAAAAUGUCAAUCUGCAAGAAAAGCUGAAUAAUACAGGUAUUAUUAAUUGAUAUUCCAGACGGUACAAAUUUGUAAAAUAUAAAAAAUCGCUUGUGAGCCAUAUAUGAUAUAUUGAAUUUUAAACUUCUUCACUUGCAAUAAUCACUUUCUUAGUUAAAUAAAACAAUAGUAUUUCAUUUCUUUUCUAGAGGAAUCAUACAUGUACAGCUAUAAACAUAGAGAUAUGUGUGCUGGUCUGUAAUUGCAAUACGUGGAUUGGCCAAGAAUUCUAAAAAUUCUUUUUAAUUGCUUUCAGUAAGGAGGUUGUGAUUUCCAAGUCGUACAGCUGUCUACUGUGGCUUCCUUGAGAUGAAACAUGACUUGCUGCAAAUGGAAUGUCAAGCUCUAAUGUACCCAAAGGCCGGAUGAGGACAAAACCAUGGCUGUUCACGCUUCAACUCAGUUUCCUGAGUAUACGCAUAGUUUGAUUGAUGUUGUCUUGGUGUUCCCGAACAUAAUAUCUGUGUGAUAACAGGAAGGGCUGAAGGUGGCUUUGGCGGCAAGAAAUAUGCCAGUGAGUACCCACAAGGAUUUUCGUUUAAAGCUACAGAUAAAAAAGGCCUUUUUGUUUAAAGUUGUUGCUUGGAAAUAGUUUUGCUCCUUUCAGUCUUAUGUUUUGUUUAAAAUUUUUGUAACCAAUCCUUCUUCGCGGGGGUGGGGGGAUUGAGGGGGUGACUGCAUUAUCAACCACUACAGUGAUUAGUAUAUUUCAUAAUAUUUAAGGUAUAUUCAUUGUUCAGUUAAGAGAACACAAGAGCUCAGCUUUUUAGAGGACCAUAAAUAUCUAAGGAUAAAUGAAAUGGGCAAAAAAGUUCCAUAUAUAUCUAUGUUGACCACAAAAACAAAGAAACUCUGCUCCAUCGCAUACCUUCACUUCCUAUGAACCGUCCAAAGGAAAGAUAUAUUCGAUUGAACAAAGAGCUAAGCUGCCUUUCAACGCAAAAGGCAUUAUUACACACAUAAGAGGGGAGAAAACAGGAAAAGAACUAUCAUACAAUAUGGAGAAAAAAAGCUCAAAACCAUUGUGCUCACGCAUAAGCAUGGAAAUAUGGGCUUUCAAGGUAGAAAAGUUAUGGCUGCAUGCCAACAAGCUUUAUCGGCAACUGGAUUAAACUGAACAACAAUUAAUGCCAGAGUUGUUGUCAGUGGAGUCCACAUUCCAUACAUUCUCAAGCAUGUUAAGAGUGACUCUGUGGUGGUAGUAAGAGAAUCGAAAAAUAAAUAAGAAUGUCUUGUUAUAUAAUUUCAUAUAGUAAGAUAGCAAGAAAAACUAACUUUCGAAAGAAGUGUUUUUGCCUCGAUAAUUAUCUAACAAGAGUGUCGAUGCAAAAGUAGUUUUUUUUCGUGAGAAAAUACCAGAUUAAAAAAAGUAACGUAGACGUCAGUUUAAGCUUAUAGGGCAAUUGAUGUGGGCCCACCCUCAUAUUUUCCACGUCAAUAGUCAAGAUGACAUCAUUAAUUAUUUAACUCUACACCAUACUUACUUGUAUGGAAUAUUUGUAUUAAAUAUACUCUUAUAGUAUCAUUUACUAAUGAAUAAUUUCUAAUAUAUGAUGUCAUUUAUAAAAUUUCAAAUAAAAGUAUUCCAAAGUAGAGGGCUAGAAUCAAAGGGUAGGGGUUGGGGUACAAAAAUAAAUAAAUAUAUGAUGUCAUUUAUAAAAUUUGUCUUCGCUAUUUUCAUUAAGGAAAUUGUUUUUCCUCAUUUUUAAGUGACUUAAUUUCCUGUUUCUUUUCAAGUCUUUGUUUUUUCGUUAAGUGAUAUGUUAGGCCCAAUUAAGCACUAAAAUGAGCUGUUAAAAGCAGUAGUGCAUAAAGCAAAAGUAAUGAAUCAUAUUUCUUAGUUGGUAGGUGUUGUCUUUUAUUGUUUUGUUUAUUUAUUUUGGUGGGCUGUACACUUAGGCAACCCACAUGAUUUUGUAUAUAUUUGCUCUUAGUUUAAUAAAAAUCCUGACCCAUCUGGUCUUUGAUUUAAAAAAAAAAGAAAAAGUAAUGAAUCAUAAAGCUAAAAAUACUUUUCUUUAUUGCCUCAAUUAUUUUCGAAUCUUUGUUUUUUCAGUCAAGAAAAGAGAAUUGUUUUGCUUCUUUCUUGUAGACAAAAGAGAGAAAUCAGUGAUCAUCUUGUUUGGGAAUUACUCUUAGCAUUCAACAGGUACAUAAAGAAGUUGUUAGUAAUUAAUGAUAGAAAAAUAUUUAUCUUAAAAAAUCAUUUUGUUUUGAAUUUGCAGAUUUCAGAAAUGGAGGUUGUCUUGGCAGUUGGUGGUGUAUUUCUCUCUUCAGCUUUGGAUGUUCUCAUUGAUAGGCUUGCUCCUCAGGGCGAUCUUCUCAAAAUGUUUCGGAAGCGUAAGAAUGAUGUUGAGCUCUUAAAGAAGCUGAAAUUGACUUUGCUUGGUCUUCAAGCUGUGCUAAGUGAUGCAGAGAAUAAGCAAGCAUCAAAUCAAUUUGUGAGAGAGUGGCUUAAUGAGCUUCGAGUUGCUGUAGACUCUGCUGAAAACUUGAUUGAACAAGUCAAUUAUGAAGCUUUGAAGCUUAAGGUGGAAGGUAAGCAUCAAAAUCUUGCAGAAAAAAUAUUGAAGCAUUGUAGAUUUUGCAGCCUGUGCUUGGGUGAUCAUUCUUUUCUUAACAUAAAUGAAAAGUUGGAAAAGACUAUUGAAACAUUGGAGAAUUUGCAAAAUCAAAUUAGUGACCUUGGCUUACAGAAACAUUUUGGUUCGACUAAACAAGAAACUAGAACUUCAACUUGUUUGGUUGAUGAAUCUGAUAUCUUUGGUUUACACAAGGAAAAAAAGGAUAUGAUUGACCGUUUAUUGUCUGAAGAUGCAAGUGGAGGAAACCUGACUGUAGUUCCUAUUGUUGGAAUGGGCGGCACGGGUAAGACAACACUAGCUAAAGUUGUUUACAAUGAUGAGAAGGUGAAGAACCAUUUUGGUUUGAAAGCUUGGUAUUGUGUUUCUGAGCCAUAUGAUGCUUUGAGAAUAACGAAAGGGUUACUUCAAGGAAUUGGCUCAUUUGACUCGAAGGAUGACGGCAAUGUUAAUCAGCUACAGGUCAAAUUGAAGGAAAGCCUGAAGGGAAAGAAGUUUCUUGUUGUCCUUGAUGAUGUGUGGAAUGAUACCUAUAGUGAGUGGGAUAACCUGAGAAAUGUUUUUGUACAAGGAGUUAUGGGAAGUAAGAUCAUUGUAACAACACGUAAGGAGAGUGUUGCUCAGAUGAUGUGUGCUGAUCGUUGCGCAAUCACCAUGGGGACUCUGUCUAGUGAAGACUCUUGGGCUUUAUUCAAACGACAUUCACUAGAAAAUAGGGAUCAUCCAGAACUUGAAGAGGUUGGGAAAAAAAUUGCAGAUAAGUGCAAAGGGUUGCCUUUAGCUCUAAAGGCACUUGCUGGUGUUUUACGCGGCAAAUCAGAGGUAGAUGAGUGGAGAAACAUUUUAAGAAGUGAAAUAUGGGACCAGCGUUGUUGGAAUGGUAUAUUACCAGCAUUGAUGUUGAGCUACAAUGAUCUUCCUGCACAUUUGAAGCGAUGCUUUGCUUUUUGUGCAAUAUAUCCCAAAGAUUAUCAAUUCUGCAAAGACAAACUUAUUUACCUGUGGAUUGCUAAUGGUCUUGUAAAGCAGUUUUGUUCAGGUAACAAAUACUUUGACGAGUUGAGAUCAAGAUCAUUGUUUGAGAGGGACCCAGAGUCUGAAUGGGAAUCAGAGAGAUUCUUAAUGCAUGAUCUUAUAAAUGAUUUGGCCCAAACUGCAUCUUCAAAACUUUGUAUUAGGUUGGAAGAGACCGAAGGAUCUGAUGAUAUGUUGGAACAAUGUCAGCACAUGUCCUAUUCCAUGGGACAAGAAGGUGAAUUUGAGAAAUUGAUACCACUCUCCAAAUCAGAGCAGCUGAGGACAUUGCUUCCAACCAAUAUCAGUAACUUUUCUGGGCUAAGCAAGAGGGUGCUACAUAACAUACUUCCAAGACUAACAUCCUUAAGGGCAUUAUCAUUGUCAGGUUAUAGGAUUACGGAGUUGCCAAAUGACUUGUUUAUCAAAUUAAAGCUCCUCAGAUUUUUGGACCUUUCUGAGACACAGAUUGAAAAGUUGCCAGAUUCCAUUUGUGUCUUGUAUAACUUGGAAACCCUUCUCCUGUCAUCUUGUGAAAAUCUUGAGGAGCUACCGCUGAAGAUGGAGAAGUUGAUCAACUUGCGUCACCUCGACAUAAGCAACACUUCUCGCUUGAAGAUGCUGCUACAUCUGAGCAUGUUGAAAAACCUCCAAGUCCUACUGGGAGCCAAGUUUCUUAUAGGUGGUAGCGGUGGUUUGAGAAUGGAAGAUUUGGGUGAAGUACAUAACUUGUAUGGAUCUCUAUCAGUUUUAGAGUUGCAAACUGUAGUUGAUAGAAGGGAAGCUCUGAAGGCAAAUAUAAAGGAAAAGGAACAUGUUGACAAGUUAUCAUUGGAGUGUAGUGAAGGUAGUUUUGCUUACGAUUCUCAAACUGAAAGAGAGAUACUUGAGGAGCUACGCCCAUACACAAACAUAAAAAAUGUCGAAAUCACCGGAUAUAGAGGGACCAAAUUUUCAAAUUGGCUGGCUGAUCCUUCGUUUCUUCAGCUAGUAGAAUUGUAUCUUAGCAACUGCAAGGACUGUGAUUCUUUGCCAGCACUAGGACAGCUUCCUUCUUUGAAAUUCCUUGACAUUAGAGGGAUGCAUGGAAUAACAGAGGUGACGGAAGAGUUCUAUGGAAGUUCAUCCUCCAAAAAGCCUUUUAACGCUCUUGAGAAGCUUGAAUUUGAAGAUAUGCCGGAGUGGAAGCAAUGGCACGUACUAGGAAGUGGGGAGUUCCCUAUACUUGAGUACCUUUCAAUUAGAAAAUGUCCAAAGUUGAUGGGGAAGUUGCCUGAAAAUCUAUGUUGUCUGAUAGAAUUGAGAAUUUCAGAGACACCUCUUUUUGAUGAAGCUCAACUGCUUAGAUCCCAAUUUGAGGGAAUGAAGCAGAUUGCUGAAUUAGAUAUCAAAAUUUGUAACUCUCUUACCUCCUUACCUUUUAGCAUAUUGCCCAGUUCCUUGAAGAGAAUAGCGAUAUCUCAUUGUCAGAGAUUGAAAUUGGAGGAGCCAGUUGGUUAUUGUAACAUGUUUCUGCGGAGCUUGCAACUGUAUAAUUGUGAUUGUAUAGAUGAUAUAUCACCUGAGUUGCUCCCAAGAGCACGUUCUUUGAAGGUACAUGCUUGCUAUAACCUUGCUAGGUUUUUGAUUCCUACUGCAACUGAAAGUCUCACUAUUCGGGAUUGUGAGAAUCUUGAAAUACUUUCAGUGGCAGUUGGAACCCAUGAGUCUGCCAUGACGUCUUUGCAUAUUUGGGAUUGUGAGAAGCUCAAGUGUCUGCCAGAAAUAGAUCUCUUCAAUUUACAAGUCCUUAAGAUCUAUAAUUGCAAGAAACUAGUGAACGGCCGAAAGGAGUGGUGUUUACAGAGACUCCCCUGUCUCACAGAGUUAGAGAUCAGACAUGAUGGCAGUGACGAAGAGAUCCAACAUUGGGAAUUGCCUUCCUCUAUUCAAACACUUAGAAUAGAGAAUCUGAAAACAUUAAGCAGCCAAGUUCUCAAAAGCCUCACCUCUCUUAAAUAUCUAUCUAUUGAUUGGCUUCCCUCCUCUCUUUCUCAGCUACAUUUAUGUUACUAUGAUGAGCUCCAUUCACUACAUCUUUGCCACCUCACUUCUCUUCUAAGUCUACAUUUAAAUUGUCGUAAUCUCCAAUCACUCUCUGAAUCAACACUGCCCUCCUCCCUCUCUCAGCUGACCAUCUCUCAUUGCCCUAAUCUCCAAUCACUCUCUGAAUCGCAUAUAGGUGUGUCUGCUCCUGAUUAAGAUAAGGUGUUAUAUCUUUAUGAAUAUUAAAUUAUCUUCCAAAUUCUUUUUUUUUUUUGGGGGGGGGGGGGGUGGGGGGGAUCAACCGCAUAUGGCAAUUUAGAUCUCUAAAAUCCGCACCAAUUAAGAAGGGAAAAUCGUUGAAUCUUUUAAUUUGCUUGUAUUGUUCGCUUUGUGCUAGGCGCACACAAUUUUAAAAUAUUAUUUAAGAGUGAAAAUUAUUUUCGCUUUUCAACUUUGCUGUAAAAAUUAAACUCCAUUUCAAUUUUAAUAAUCGAACUCCUCCCUUUAUUCUAAUUAAUUUUUUAAAAAUACCUAUUAUACCCUUUCAUUAUCUUGUGACAAAUCUCACUCUUCAUCUUAGCUGGCUAUUACAACUCACUUUUCUUGUCUAUUAACAUAUGUUCUCUCUCAAAUCUUGUAGACUGAAAUAUCUCCACCAUAGAAGUCGAUGGAGAAUACAUUUAAUGAUUAAAGCGAAUGGUGCUCUCAACAAUGUAAGUUUUUCUUUGUCCUCAGAAGCUUUCUAUUUUUGUUUUGUUCCCUUUGCUUUCCCUUUUUUAAGAUCUUGUUGAGCAGUAUGGAGUGUCUAUUACCACUAUGAAGCCAAAAAAUCAUCUUUAGUUCGAGAUAAAUUUAAUUUUCGAUAACCACAAUAAACAAAGGUGAGAAAAUCUUUAUAUUCGUGUGGGAACACUGUAAAACGAAAUCUAGUAUAUAUUCGUGUGGGAACACUGUAAAACGAAAUCUAGUUUAUGCUUUGAACUGUUUAUACAUAAAUCUGUGUGAUCAUUAGAAUGAUGUAUAUCUUUGAUAUUAAUGACGUUUAAUAUUCUUUUCAGAAUAUAAAUUAUGUUGUGCUUAUCAUCAGACUUACUGCAAAUGGGACGUACAGCUCUGAUGGAACCCAAAGGUACGUGAUAAAAAAGUUGUUUAAAUAACACACGAGAGAUAUUGACAUUAUGGUCAUAGAUUAUAAGGAAAGAUAUUACUUUUUCAUUGUUAGGAUUUUGACAAGGCUCGGUGCUCAUUUGGGAAGUGAAAAGUUUCGAAGGUCUCUCUGUUCAAGUCAAGAAGUGAAAGCUAUUGAACUAUGUAUGUAAUAGCUUGUAUUGUUUACUUUGGGUCCUAUGCUCCUUCGACUUUAAAAUGCCUCAUUUGGGUCUAAUGUCACUUCUUUUUAUUCCAACAAUCAAUAUCGUUCUUGUGUUUUGUUUGAUGUGGUAUAUGCCCUAGGAUGCUACAAUGUUGUUCUUUUUACUCUAGAUACCAAGACGGAAAGCAAGAGACGACACAAUUAUUGAACUUUCUGUAUUGAGAAAUCUGAAUUUCUGGACGCAAAUGGUUAGAGAAAACUGUAAAUGCAAUGUAAAAUGCAUAAGAAUCAGGGGAGAUUUUGAGGAGUGAGAUUUGUUUGUGUAAUUUUGUAAUGUUGUUAUUACUAAUUAAAUGAUAUGUGUGUAUUUCAGUUCAUACUGCUUAAAAUUUCUUCAUUUGAGGAUGU
RNAcentral lists this long non-coding RNA (25776 nucleotides) under Solanum tuberosum (potato). RNAcentral's name for it is "long non-coding RNA (STUB_LNC010993)". Lineage: Eukaryota; Viridiplantae; Streptophyta; Magnoliopsida; Solanales; Solanaceae. The record is from RNAcentral.